GUCAAGUGACUAAGUGCAUGUGGUGGAUGCCUUGGCGAUUACAGGCGACGAAGGACGUGAUAGCCUGCGAUAAGCUUCGGGGAGCUGGCAAAUUAGCUUUGAUCCGGAGAUUUCCGAAUGGGGAAACCCACCGAAAGGUAUCGUAUUCUGAAUACAUAGGGAUACGAGGCGAACC
RNAcentral lists this ribosomal RNA (175 nucleotides) under Vannella robusta. RNAcentral describes it as "Vannella sp. CB-2014 partial Bacterial large subunit ribosomal RNA". It matches the Rfam family "Bacterial large subunit ribosomal RNA", at positions 1 to 185 of the family's 2925-position model. The record is from RNAcentral. Lineage: Eukaryota; Discosea; Flabellinia; Vannellidae.